UUGCUAGGAGGCGUCGAGCGGCGGACGGGUGAGUAACGCGUGAGAAUCUACCCAUGAGUGGGGGACAACCCGGGGAAACUCGGGCUAAUACCGCAUACGCCCUACGGGGUAAAGCAGGGGACCUUCGGGCCUUGCGCUGAUGGAUGAGCUCGCGUCGGAUUAGCUUGUUGGUGAGGUAAAGGCUCACCAAGGCGACGAUCCGUAGCUGGUCUGAGAGGAUGAUCAGCCACACCGGGACUGAGACACGGCCCGGACUCCUACGGGAGGCAGCAGUGGGGAAUCUUGGACAAUGGGGGCAACCCUGAUCCAGCCAUGCCGCGUGUGUGAAGAAGGCCUUCGGGUUGUAAAGCACUUUCAGCAGGGAGGAAGGCUUACCCCUAAUACGGGUGAGUACUUGACGUUACCUGCAGAAGAAGCACCGGCUAAUUUCGUGCCAGCAGCCGCGGUAAUACGAAAGGUGCAAGCGUUAAUCGGAAUUACUGGGCGUAAAAGCGCGCGUAGGCGGUGUGAUAAGUCGGAUGUGAAAGCCCCAGGGCUCAACCUUGGAAUUGCAUCCGAUACUGGCACGCUAGAGUGCAGUAGAAGGGAGGUGGAAUUUUCCGGUGUAGCGAUGAAAUGCG
Molecule: ribosomal RNA, 620 nt
Filed under: Alloalcanivorax venustensis
Lineage: Bacteria; Pseudomonadati; Pseudomonadota; Gammaproteobacteria; Oceanospirillales; Alcanivoracaceae
Description: bacterial SSU rRNA
Rfam family: Bacterial small subunit ribosomal RNA
Source: RNAcentral